Molecule: long non-coding RNA, 8714 nt
Organism: Cucumis melo (muskmelon)
Lineage: Eukaryota; Viridiplantae; Streptophyta; Magnoliopsida; Cucurbitales; Cucurbitaceae
Exons: 5
Source: RefSeq, a predicted model, not a curated record
AAAAUACAUAAAAAUCAUAAUUAAUUAAUAAAAUCUCGUGCCUGCGAUUUAGCCCAAAACUUUUUUUCUUUUUGUCACGUCAAUUUUCUUUUCUCUGCGUGCGAUAGCCGACCCUCACAGCUCAAUCGACUUCUUCAUCUCUCAUAUUAUUCAAUCGAUUUCUUCAUCUCAUCUCAUCUUUUCGUCGGCUGACCUCUCACGACUUUUGUUCAACUGACGAUGUCGUCGCUUCCAGGUUAAUGAUUCGAGGUUAGUCUUUCCUCGCCAAUGCUCGCUUCCAGAUUAGUCUUUCCUCAUCGGCGUUCAACUAACGACGACGAUGAUUUCUUCAUCUCGUCAUCGGCGCGCGAUAACGUAAUGAUUCGAGGCCUUCUGUAAUACUAAAUGGCGCCGCCAAUUCUCUCCUUAGCUCUCCCGUCCGCCACUGGUCGAGUUCUCUGUAUUCAGUCCCACACUUUUCAGGGUAUCCGACAUUUAAGGGCCAAGUUUUGAAUGGAAGACAAUUAUGGGACUUAAUUGAAGGCCUUGAAGAAAAUGAAUUGUUGUACUACACUCAUUUGUUAACAGGAUAUAUUGGUUCUGUUUCUUUCCUCAACAACUGUGUUGGAAGUUAUCGAUAAGCUUCACUUUGUGAACCCUAAGCUAACAUAUGGUCAGAUAAAUUCAAGUUUAUAUAUAUAUAUAUAUCAUAUUUUUCACUACUUCAAUGAUGACUCUUUGUUCUUUUAACCAUAAGGUACUUAGAUUGUACUUUAUAUUAGAGUUCUUGUUCUUACUUCUACGAUACUAUCAUAGUAUGGUAUGUUCAGGUAUCUGGUUCAGUUCUUCUGUUAUGUUACUGUUGAAUAGUUCUUGCACAGCCUGUUUUCAUAAUGACAACGAAUGUUCCCUAUCUGAUCUUUGUGAAAGCAUAUUUCUCCUUUCUAUUUUCAAGUUUCAACAUGAGGCUUCUGAGUUUCAAAAUGGUUGAAUUGUGCAAUAUAUCCACUUCCUUUCUGCUUCUGCUUCAAAGCCAAAAAUCUUCAUAGUGCUUUAUAAUAACCCUUCUUAGAAUUACUCAGGAAAAACACUCAAGUUUCGUAGAUGUCUAAUGAAUAGGUAUUGGGCAUGGGAGUUUGGGAAAAUUUACCUCUUCAAAAUGGCUAUCUUACUUAGAAGCAGUAAUACAUACUUUUAUAUAUUUAGCCAUAUAACAAAAAAAUUCUUGAGGAAUAUGUACUAUAGUAAUAUACUGUUUUCUUCCUUGACAUAGUCCAAAAGGUUAUAGUUGAGCAUUAUGAGUUAGGAACACUUUGAAGAAGUGAAAUUUGAUUCUGCAUUUGCCAUCACUCUUUUAUCACUAGAAGACUGGUUUGUCUGCUGAACAAGAUCCUUUUUCAAUUAUUUGCAAAUGUCCUAGAAAUAUUUCAAUUCAAAGCUCUUAUUGAUUGGUCAUCUUGGUUUAUAUGCCCAUCAGCUGUCCAUGUUUGAUGAAGUGGUAAUAUAUAGUUUUGCUUCUUUAAGGAAGAAAUAACUUCAUGUUGGGUUUUUGAAUUUUGUUCGAUUUUUGUUCUUAGUGUUAACCACAACUUGUUAGGUGUUUUCUUCACUAGAUUAACUUUAAUUUUCUUAGAUCACAUUGAGAUAAUCUCUCAUAACGUAAUUUCUCGAGUAUUUUUCGCUUGUUCUAACAACCGAGUUGUUUGUUUACUGGUUGUAUAUGUGACUAGGGGAUCUUUUUUUUUUUUUUUAUAUUGAAGAUUAGAGUGGAGCUACUUUUUAAGAUUGUUAAUGUGGGGACGUUUGGUUGUUUCAAUUCUUUUUUUUUUUUGGGUUCAAAAUAUGGAUCUGGAUAUGAUUAUGGUUAAAUAUGAUUUAGAAGAUUUAGAACGUUGUUUUUGUAUCUUAUAUGAUUGGUUGAAUAUGAUUUGUAAUUUUAUUUGAAGACUUUGCUGCGUAUGUUUCUUUGGAUUUUCAUUUUUAAGUUUGAUUUAUAUGAUAUAUCAUUCUUUAUUUUAUUUCAAAUGUUAUUGAAGUAUUUGUUUCUUUACUGUAUUUUGUGAACUAAUUUGUUGCGUUUUACAACAGCUCCUUUCUUUGUCUUUGCUGGGAUUUGGUUCAUUGUUUUUGGCUUGAGUUUGUUUUUUGUGAUUCUACCAAUUAGUUCAACUAGAUGAAGAACAUAAAUGGUUAAUGGAUUUUUCUUUGUAGGACAUGAGAGAUUGAGUAAAUGAAUGAGGUUAUGAGUGUCAUUGUUUGGAUGGACACAAACUAGAACUCUAAGCUCUGAGUUUUUAAGCAAGUUCACGAUGUCAUGAUAUGCAAAAAAAAUUAGAAUUUAAUCCUUAUGGUUUUGAUAGAACUUCAUAGAUUGUCUCUCUAGUUUGAUAAAAAGAAUAUAUUGUUUUUAUUUGUUUUGAAAUAAUAGUAGUUACGUAUGUAGAAGGGUAGGGUACUAAGUUUGAGGUUCUUGAAAAGGAAUAUUUGAAGAUGAAAGAAGAAAUGAUAAAUGAAAGCAAUAAAAGACGAAAUGAUAGAAAUGAAAGCGGACUUAUGUCAUCUUAUUUAAAGAAACAUUUUUUUUCUUUUACUUAGAUUCUUUUUUUUCCUGUUAGUAGUUAACUAUAUUUAUGGUUUCAUAUGAGAUUAUCAUAGGUUGAACCAAGUGAGGAAUUUUCAAAUGUUGCCGCAAGUGUGCUUAAGCGACUAAAUAUUCCUCCAACCUAUCCAAUGUCUUCUGCAUUAGUAACUUAUUUGUAAUAGGAUGAAAGUUAUUUAUGAUGUCAUUAUUUUCUUAUUCUAGUAUCUCAUAUUUGUCUUUUGAUAGAGUAUUAAUAACAACAGUCAAAUUAAGUGCAAGUUAUUAGAUUGGUAUAGCUCAGGAGAGAUUGUUGUUGAAGGAAGAUGGUCUUCUGGUGAUCCAGUUGCUCUGGUUCAUCAGGUUCCUAUUGGUCCACAUGCGAUUAGAGUAUGGGUUGAUGCAGCAAUUGAAAGCAAUUAACAACCCGAGGCUUACGUGGAAACCCGAGAAUCGGGAGAAAAACCACAAUACUUUUUAUUAUUUCUCUUAUGAAUGAAUACAAUAGGUACAACGGGAGAGAAUAAAUAUAGUACAAUAGGAGUAAGAAAGGAAAAGAUUUAGGAAAUAAAAUAUUCUAUAUUAUUCUUUCUAAAAAUACUCUAAGGUAAAGCCCUACUAAUUCUAGCACACUCCCCUUCAAGUUGGGACAUAAAUAUCAAUGAGUCCCAACUUACUAACACAAAGGUCGAAGUGUGGUCUGAGAAGCUCCUUGGUGAGAACAGAAGCAACUUGUUGGCUCGAAGGAAUGUACAGAAUGUAUAUGCUUCAACUGCCAAGUCUUUCUUUGAUGAAAUGUCGAACAAUCUCGAUAAGUUUAGUUCUAUCAUGUUGAAUUGGGUUGUUAGCAAUACUAAUAGCAGCUUUAUUAUCACAAAAAAGCUUCAAUAGUGUCUCACAUUCCUGAUGAAGAUCUGACAAGACUUUUUGGAGCCAAAUUUCCUCACAUAUUCCCAAACUCAUAGCUCUGUAUUCAGCCUCAGCACUGCUCCUGGCCACAACACUUUGCUUCUUACUCCUCUAAGUUACAAGAUUACCUCAAACAAAGGUACAAUAACCGGAGGUAGACUUUCUAUCAACAACAAAUCCUGUCCAAUCCGAGUCAGUAUAUGCCUCAAUGGACUUUCUAUUUGUUUUUCUAAACAUCAACUCUGUGUAUUUUUCAAGUAUCUCAUAAUUCUGUUAACAGCUUCCAUAUGUUUCUCAUUGGGAGCCUGCAUAAACUUGUUGACAACACUUACAGCAAAGAAAAUACCAGGGCGAGUAUGAGAUAAGUAAAUUGAUUUACCUACAAGGCGCUGAUAUUGUUCUUUAUCAAACUGGAACUUGAUCAUCAGAGUUCCUUAGUUUACAGUUGAAUUCAAUAGGAGUAUUAGCAGGAGGAUAUCCCAACAUACUUGUCUUGGUUAGCAAAUCAAGGGUGUUUUCUCUAAGACACAAAGAUACCUUCUUUCGAUCUGACCACCUCAAUUCCAGGGAAAUAUUUUAGAUUUCCCAAAUCCUUGAUUUCAAAUUCAUCACCCAUUCUCUGCUUUAGUUGACUGAUUUCUGUUUAAUCAUCUCUAGUCAAAAAAAUAUCAUCCACAUAAACUAUUAGAAUAACAAUCUUCCCUGUCUUGGAAACCUUUGUAAAUAAAGUAUGGUCAGAGUGCCCUCGACCACCCUUGGGACUUGACAAAGGUAGUGAAUCUGUCAAACCAUGCUCUCGGAGACUAUUUCAGACCAUAUAGGGAUUUUUGGAGUUUACACACCUGCUGACCAAAUUGGGCUUCAAAUCCUGGCGGGGGGCUCAUGUAGACUUCCUCCACAAGGUCUCCAUUCAAAAAAGCAUUCUUAACAUCUAGCUGGUAUAGAGGUCAAUCUUUGUUCACAGCAACAGAUAGCAGGACUCUAACACAACUUAGCAACUGGAGAAAAGGUUUUUGAAUAGUCAAUACCAUAGGUCUGAGUAAAUCCCUUUGCAACUAACCUUGCCUUGUGUCUAUCAAGCGUACUAUCUACUUUGUAUUUGAGAGCGAACACCUAUUUGCAUCCUACAGUUUUAUGUCUCUUGGGUAGAGCACAGAUCUCCCAAGUUCUAUUCUUUUCAAGAGCCUUCAUCUCUUCCAUAACUGCAUUUUUCCAUUCAGGACACUCUAGAGUAGUGUAGAUAUUAUUUAGUAUUAUGGUAGAGUCAAGGCUUGCUGUAAACGCUCUAAACUGUGGAGAGAGAUUAUCAUAGGAAACAUAGUUACAAAUGGGAUGUUUAGUGUAGGAUCUGGUACCUUUUCUCAAAGCAAUGGGAAUGUCAAGAGAGGGAUCAUACUCAUCAAGUUUUCUUGUAUGACCUUGUUCAGCUUCAUUGUUACUGGUUUCUAUUCUAACCUCAGUCUCAUCACCACGGUUCUUUUCUUCCAUAUUUUCAAGAACAACAACAUCAGACCUGUCAUUCUCACUCAUCAUAUUAUUAGUACAAGGUUCUGUAGGGUUUUCCAUACCUUGGUCUCGAGGAGGUUCGAAGUCUUGGACUGGAGUCGGUGGUUGACUAGUAGAGGACUCAACUUCCUUUAUGAGGUUCCUCAUGUAAUAUGUUUUCUAGGGAACUUGGUUUGUGGAUAAGAUUAUGGGAUGAGGAUCAACGUCAGAUACGGUACUAGGAGUAGGUUCAAUAAAUUCAAAGGUGUUGUUAGACUUUUCACUCACUCUCCCCCCUAAAGAUGGCUAACAGGGAAGUAGGGUCGGUUCUCACAGAAAGUAACAUACAUAGUGACAAAGUAUUUCCUAGACGGUGGGUGAAAACAUUUAUAACCGCGCUGGUGAAGGGGAUACCCAACAAACACAUAAGUUUGAGCCCGAGGAGUAAAUUUGGUGUGAUUAGGGCCAAAAUUAUGGACAUAAGCAGUACAUCCAAACACACGAAGAGGAACCUCAGAAACAAGGCGAGUAGAGGGGUAAGACUCCUUAAGACAAUCUAAGGGAGUUUGAAGGUGGAGGAUACGAGAAGGCAUUCUAUCGAUUAAGUGAGCGGCUGUAAGAAUAGCGUCUCCCCACAGGUACGAUGGAAGGGAAGUGGAAAGCAUAAGGGAACGGGCUACUUCCAUAAGGUAACGGUUUUUUCGUUUGGCCACUCCAUUUUGUUGAAAAGUGUAGGCACAUGAGGUUUGGUGAAUAAUCCCCUUAGAGGCUAGAAAUUCACUAAGGUUAUAGUUUUGGAAUUCCCCACCAUUAUCACUUCAAAGAAUUACAAUUUUUGUAUGGAAUUGUGUUUCAAUAGUAUGAUAGAAGUUUUGGAAAAUGGAUGAAACCUCAGAUUUAUCUGUGAUAAGGUAGACCCAGGUAAAAUGGGUAUGGUCAUCGAUGAAAGUUACAAACAACCGCUUUUUCGAUGAGGUAAUGACCUUGGAAGGACCCCAAAUGUUACUAUGGAUGAGGGUAAACGGUUGUGUAGGUUUAUAUGGUUGUGAGGGAAAAGAGACCCGAUGUUGUUUAGCUCGGAUACACACAUCACAAGAUAGAGAAGAGACAUCAAGUUUAGAAAAAAGGUGGAGAAAUAAAUAUUGCAUAUAUGUAAAGUUUGGGUGGCCCAGUCGAAAAUGCCACAGCAUACAAUCUUGUUCAAAAGUGCUAAAGUAGGACGACAAUAAACUAACCCUAGACAAACUACUACAGAAGGUAUCAUCAUCAAGGAUGUAAAGUCUCAUGUUAUGUCGGACAGUGUCAAUCGUCCUCUUCGAGCUCAUGUCCUGAAAAUAAACCGAUUCAGGUAAGAAGAUAGCUUUACAAUGCAACUCACGAGUGAUCUUGCUUAUAGAUAACAAAUCGUAAGACAAUUUAGGGACAUGCAAAACAUUCUAGAGAGCAAAACCGUCAAAGGGAACUAUUUGUCCUUUGCUAGCGAUCGGAGUUAGAGAGUCGUCGGCUAUUCAGUUUUUUUCAUUACCGAUACACGGGGCAUAUGAGAUAAAGUGUUCCGAAGAACCUGUCAAGUGAUCUGUAGCCUUCGAGUCUAAGAUCCAGGGAUUCUUCCCAUCAACGUUAAUGAUCCCAAAAGACUGAGACAUACCUGACUAAGCAAUGGCAUCCAGAGUCGGAGUCUUGGUUUGGCUCGCAGUAGGACUAGUUGAUUGAGAAGUGCUAGUAGGGGUAGUCUCACUAAUGUAGGCACGUCCUGAGUUCUGUUUCUCGUUGAAGGAUCGUUUCUUACCUCCUGAGGGACGACCGUGGAGUUUCCAACAUUGAUCCUUGGUGUGCCAUUGUUUCUUGUAGUGCUCACACACAGGGAUUGACUUCCCAUUAUUCUUGUCACUAUCAUGGUUUGAGGACCGAGCACUAAAGGCAGCGGAGUCAAUGGUAAGGGUAGUCAAUACACUCAUGGCAUUAGUGCAAUCCUCUUCCAGGCGGACUUCAAAACAAACUUUCAUUAGGGAGGGAAUAAGUCUUUGUCCGAGUAUACGACCACAAAUAGUACCAAAUUUGGGAUUAAGUCCUGCAAGGAAGUCAUAAACACGAUCAGCCUCUUUAAGUUUAGCAUACUGUGUACCAUCAUUUGGUGUGUUCCAAACUGUCUCUAUGCACAAAUCCAACUCUUGCCAGAGGAGAGAGAGCUUGUUAAAAUAGGUAGUCACGUCCAGGGUCCCUUGUUUGCAAUUAUGGACCUGUUUUCGCAGUGUAUACAAUUGAGAGGCAUUUUGUCGUUUUGAGUAAAGAGUCUGAGUUGUAUCCCAUAAAUCUUUUGUUGUGGCAGCAUAUAGUAGAGGCUUGUCAAUCUGUGGUUCCAUACUAUUAAUCAGCAUGGACCGAAUAAGUGAGUCCUCCCCUUUCCAGAGUCGUUCCAAGGCGUCUCCUGGUGGAGGACGUACAUUCUCUCCAGUUAAGAAGCCGAAUUGGUGGCGACCUUCGAGGAACAUCUUUAUUGAUUGGGACCAAGAGAAAUAAUUUUGUCCAUUUAAUUUUUCAUCUGAAAAAUUUCCUGUAGACGAACCCAAAGAGCCAGUUAUAUAAUUUGACGAUAAAUUAGAGAACGAAGUUAUCGGGUUCUUGGAACACAUCGGCAACUUGGUUGGUUUGGAAUGCGUCGAAGACUCGCCCGCUUCAAUGUUCGAUCUGUUCUGGGGUUGAUCAAUCUCGUUACCAGAAAACAACGGUUGCUGUAAAGAGUCAACAUACAGCGGAUGCUUAUAGUACAGAUUUGACAGAUUUACAAUUGAGGGUUGCUGUCCGGAGUUCAUAGACGGCGCAUGAGGAUACGAUGGCCAGAAGGGUUUGAUGGUUGGACAUCCGACAGCGCGUAGAGGGGAAUGGGCUGGGCGGUGAGAUGAAAAGGAGACGGCGUGUGGGCCCACGCGUCGGACAGGAGCGGCGCGUACGACUGCGAAACCACUCCUAUUGGGUAGAUCAGCAGUUUCUGUAGGUUUUGGAGCAGUUUCUCCAUGGUGGCGACGACAACGACAAUCACGGCGGCAGUGACGGGUUCAGUUUCGAUCUGGGUUUCUCCUAGGUUAUUUUCUAGGAUUUCGUUAUUGCUUUGCUCUGAUACCAUAUUGAAAGCAAUUAACAAUAAUCGAAGGUUUACGUGGAAACUCGAGAAUCGGGAGAAAAACCACAAUACUUUAGUUUUUAUUAUUUCUCUUAUGAAUGAAUACAAUAGGUACAAAGGGAGAGAAUAAAUAGAGUACAAUAGGAAUAAGAAAGGAAAAGAUUUAGGAAAUAAAAUCUUCUAUAUUCUUUUCAAAAAUAUUCUAAGUGCAAAGCCCUACUAAUUCUAACAGUAGCAAAAAAAUCGGACGCAUAUUUGUGGAGGCCAACAUCAGAAAAGACAUGUAUUGAAGAAGCUUUGGGAAGUAUAGUUGCAUGGCCAUUUGAUAAAGUGAUCAUUGGUGAGUGAAAUGGAGUCGUCUUAAUUAGAGGACCAAAAGAACCAAUGACAGUUAGCUCAUAUAAUCUUGUACACUUAUGAUGAAUUUUGUUUGUAUUUUAAGGAUUAAUUUGUGUGGUUGGUACAUUACUAGUUUGUGUAUUUUGAGAGUUAAUUUGUGUGGUUGGUACAUUUACUAGUUUGUGUAUUUUGAGAGUUAAUUUGUGUGGUUAGUACAUUUAGACCACAACAUUCAUUAAGUAAAUUACUGACUAUUUUAUUAUGUAAUUUUAAUACAUUAUGAAUGGAAGUUAUUAGUAUUCA